Molecule: long non-coding RNA, 521 nt
Filed under: Heterocephalus glaber (naked mole-rat)
Lineage: Eukaryota; Metazoa; Chordata; Mammalia; Rodentia; Bathyergidae
Description: lncRNA (ENSHGLG00000036329.1)
Source: RNAcentral
AGAGCAGAGACAGGCUACCCUACUCCCAUGCUUCUGGGGAUUUACACUUUUGCUGAUCAGCUGGACAAGCACCAACAGGAAGGAUGGCCAGCUUGGAGCCAAGCACUGUGAUGUACACCUGCAGUCUCAGCUACUAGGGAGGCUGGGGCAGAAGAAUCACUUGAAUCCAGGAAUUUGUGGCCAGCCUGGACAACAUCGUUUAAAAAAAAAAAACAGAAGAGUGGAAAUCCUCCUGGCAAACAGAAAGAACACAGUCUCCAGAGUCAGACUGACCCAAGGACUGCACAAGCGUCAUCUUUUAUUUCCUGUGCCAUCUGGCUCAAACUACUCCAAGCUCUUUCCACGUCUCAAUAACUUUGUCUGUGAAAUGAAGACUGGGACUAGGAGAAGCAUGUGGCCGCAAAAACGUCUGGUUUUCAGAGCACAGGAAAGCUUCGUUUCUGUUGCUACAUAAUCAAGAAGACACAAUUCUGACAGAAAAUGAGCAGUGCUCUGUGAGAGCUGGGCACAGGGCCAGACAC